GAUGAACGCUGGCGGCGUGCCUAAUACAUGCGAGUCGAGCGAACAGACGAGGAGCUCGCUCCUCUGACGUUAGCGGCGGACGGGUGAGUAACACGUGGAUAACCUACCUAUAAGACUGGGAUAACUUCGGGAAACCGGAGCUAAUACCGGAUAAUAUAUUGAACCGCAUGGUUCAAUAGUGAAAGACGGUUUUGCUGUCACUUAUAGAUGGAUCCGCGCCGCAUUAGCUAGUUGGUAAGGUAACGGCUUACCAAGGCAACGAUGCGUAGCCGACCUGAGAGGGUGAUCGGCCACACUGGAACUGAGACACGGUCCAGACUCCUACGGGAGGCAGCAGUAGGGAAUCUUCCGCAAUGGGCGAAAGCCUGACGGAGCAACGCCGCGUGAGUGAUGAAGGUCUUCGGAUCGUAAAACUCUGUUAUUAGGGAAGAACAAAUGUGUAAGUAACUAUGCACGUCUUGACGGUACCUAAUCAGAAAGCCACGGCUAACUACGUG
This 497-nucleotide ribosomal RNA is filed under the name uncultured bacterium. RNAcentral's name for it is "partial 16S ribosomal RNA". It matches the Rfam family "Bacterial small subunit ribosomal RNA", at positions 28 to 507 of the family's 1533-position model. The record is from RNAcentral.